AGCAGCCGCGGUAAUUCCAGCUCCAAUAGCGUAUAUUAAAGUUGUUGCAGUUAAAAGCUCGUAGUUGAAUUUCGGGGUCAGUAGUUUGGUCGUGCCAAUGGUAUGUACUGGGCUCACUGAUUCCUCCUUCCUGAUGAACUGUAAUGCCAUUAAUUUGUGUUGCAGGGGAACUGGACUGUUACUUUGAAAAAUUAGAGUGUUUAGAGCAAGCUAACGCUUGAAUACAUUAGCAUGGAAUAAUGAAAUAGGACGUUCGAUCCUAUUUCGUUGGUUUCUAGGAUUGACGUAAUGAUUAAUAGGGAUAGUUGGGGGCAUUAGUAUUCAAUUGUUAGAGGUGAAAUUCUUGGAUUUAUUGAAGACUAACUACUGCGAAAGCAUUUGCCAAGGAUGUUUUCAUUAAUCAAGAACGAAAGUUAGGGGAUCGAAGACGAUCAGAUACCGUCGUAGUCUUAACCAU
This 457-nucleotide ribosomal RNA is filed under the name uncultured Glomus. RNAcentral describes it as "SSU rRNA". It matches the Rfam family "Eukaryotic small subunit ribosomal RNA", at positions 569 to 1033 of the family's 1831-position model. The record is from RNAcentral. Lineage: Eukaryota; Fungi; Glomeromycota; Glomeromycetes; Glomerales; Glomeraceae.